CAAAAGGCUCUUCUAAGAGCCACCUACUUACUCUUUUGAAAUAGCU
Fukomys damarensis (Damara mole-rat) is the source of this 46-nucleotide non-coding RNA. The record is from Rfam. NCBI's taxonomy places the organism in Eukaryota, Metazoa, Chordata, Mammalia, Rodentia, Bathyergidae.